AACAAUGGCGGCUUCUUGCAUGCUCAGAUCCUCUUUCCUUUCUCCUAACCAUAAUCUUCAUCAACAAUCCUCUCCUAAAUCUAACCGUGCUUCCUUCUUCACUCCUAUCAAAGCCACAUCUUCAACAGAUGAUGCAAUCUCAAAAUCUCCACAACUUCAGAAGCACCGCCGCCCUGCUGACGAGAAUAUCCGUGAGGAAGCCCGACGCGACGUAUCUUCCCACAAUUUCUCUGCUAGGUAUGUACCUUUUAAUGCCGAUCCUAACUCCAGCGAGUGGUAUCCUCUCGAUGAGAUUAUUUAUCGCAGCCGAUCAGGUGGCCUACUUGAUGUCCAACACGAUAUGGACGCCCUCAAGAAAUUUGACGGCCAGUACUGGCGGUCCCUGUUUGAUUCCAGGGUGGGCAAGACAACAUGGCCUUAUGGUUCUGGUGUUUGGUCCAAGAAGGAAUGGGUCCUGCCUGAAAUUGACAGUGAUGAUAUUGUCAGUGCUUUUGAAGGAAAUUCCAAUCUUUUUUG
RNAcentral lists this unclassified non-coding RNA (516 nucleotides) under Hevea brasiliensis (rubber tree). Lineage: Eukaryota; Viridiplantae; Streptophyta; Magnoliopsida; Malpighiales; Euphorbiaceae. The record is from RNAcentral.